GCAGUCGGACGGUAGCACAGAGAGCUUGCUCUCGGGUGACGAGUGGCGGACGGGUGAGUAAUGUCUGGGGAUCUGCCCGAUAGAGGGGGAUAACCACUGGAAACGGUGGCUAAUACCGCAUAACGUCGCAAGACCAAAGAGGGGGACCUUCGGGCCUCUCACUAUCGGAUGAACCCAGAUGGGAUUAGCUAGUAGGCGGGGUAAUGGCCCACCUAGGCGACGAUCCCUAGCUGGUCUGAGAGGAUGACCAGCCACACUGGAACUGAGACACGGUCCAGACUCCUACGGGAGGCAGCAGUGGGGAAUAUUGCACAAUGGGCGCAAGCCUGAUGCAGCCAUGCCGCGUGUAUGAAGAAGGCCUUCGGGUUGUAAAGUACUUUCAGCGGGGAGGAAGGCGAUGCGGUUAAUAACCGCGUCGAUUGACGUUACCCGCAGAAGAAGCACCGGCUAACUCCGUGCCAGCAGCCGCGGUAAUACGGAGGGUGCAAGCGUUAAUCGGAAUUACUGGGCGUAAAGCGCACGCAGGCGGUCUGUUAAGUCAGAUGUGAAAUCCCCGGGCUUAACCUGGGAACUGCAUUUGAAACUGGCAGGCUUGAGUCUUGUAGAGGGGGGUAGAAUUCCAGGUGUAGCGGUGAAAUGCGU
RNAcentral lists this ribosomal RNA (642 nucleotides) under bacterium 65-L049658-122-015-A09. Its description in RNAcentral is "bacterial SSU rRNA". It matches the Rfam family "Bacterial small subunit ribosomal RNA", at positions 57 to 691 of the family's 1533-position model. The record is from RNAcentral.